This 434-nucleotide ribosomal RNA is filed under the name uncultured Clostridium sp. RNAcentral's name for it is "partial 16S ribosomal RNA". It matches the Rfam family "Bacterial small subunit ribosomal RNA", at positions 341 to 792 of the family's 1533-position model. The record is from RNAcentral. Lineage: Bacteria; Bacillati; Bacillota; Clostridia; Eubacteriales; Clostridiaceae.
ACGGGAGGCAGCAGUGGGGGAUAUUGCACAAUGGGGGAAACCCUGAUGCAGCGACGCCGCGUGAGUGAUGAAGUAUUUCGGUAUGUAAAGCUCUAUCAGCAGGGAAGAAAAUGACGGUACCUGACUAAGAAGCUCCGGCUAAAUACGUGCCAGCAGCCGCGGUAAUACGUAGGGGGCAAGCGUUAUCCGGAUUUACUGGGUGUAAAGGGGGCGUAGACGGCAUGGCAAGUCUGAUGUGAAAACCCGGGGCUCAACCCCGGGACUGCAUUGGAAACUGUCAAGCUAGAGUGCAGGAGAGGUAAGUGGAAUUCCUAGUGUAGCGGUGGAAUGCGUAGAUAUUAGGAGGAACACCAGUGGCGAAGGCGGCUUACUGGACUGUAACUGACGUUGAGGCUCGAAAGCGUGGGGAGCAAACAGGAUUAGAUACCCUGGUA